CUGCAUGUGAGUUAAAUAAGCAGGGUGACAAUAUACAGCCUUGAUGUACUCCUUUCCCAAUUUGGAACCAGUCCUGUUCUGACUGUUGCUUUUUGACUUGCAUACAGGUUUCUCAGGAGGCAGGUUUUAGUUGUGGCAUAAGGCAUCUAGUUCCCUGAACAGGGAUGGAACCCAGGACCCCUGCAUUGUGAGCAUGGAGUCUCAGCCACUGGACCACCCGGGAAGUCCCAGAAAGGAAGUUAAUUUCUUGUGAGCCAGGAUCACUGAUGAACUUCGGGUGUCUCAGAGAAAAUGAGAGUUCAUCCACACUGAAAGGCCCUAUCAGCAAAGCUCUGAGAAGGUGGUGCUGUUUGCUACGUCGUCAGGCAUGAGACUUUAUGGCAACCACCACUGAAACCACUUCGAAGCCACUUCUGUGUCAAGAACUUCACCUUUUUUUACGCUGCUUCUCCAAAGCCAGUUGCUUUUCUUGUCACCUUUGCCAGUGAAAUGAAUGGAGGGGAGAUUCCCAUUUCCUCCUGUUGCUUAACUGUGGAUUGAAGUCUCAG
Molecule: long non-coding RNA, 548 nt
Organism: Dama dama (fallow deer)
Lineage: Eukaryota; Metazoa; Chordata; Mammalia; Artiodactyla; Cervidae
Exons: 3
Source: RefSeq, a predicted model, not a curated record